GACGAACGCUGGCGGCGUGCUUAACACAUGCAAGUCGAACGGAAAGGCCCUGCUUUUGUGGGGUGCUCGAGUGGCGAACGGGUGAGUAACACGUGAGUAACCUGCCCUUGACUUUGGGAUAACUUCAGGAAACUGGGGCUAAUACCGGAUAGGAGCUCCUGCUGCAUGGUGGGGGUUGGAAAGUUUCGGCGGUUGGGGAUGGACUCGCGGCUUAUCAGCUUGUUGGUGGGGUAGUGGCUUACCAAGGCUUUGACGGGUAGCCGGCCUGAGAGGGUGACCGGCAACAUGGGGACAGAGAGAGGCCCCGGGCCCAGACGGGGGGAAGGGGGGGAAAAUUGAGCAAACGGGGCGGAGGCUGUAGAGAGCAGCGCCGGGUGGGGAAGGACGGCUUGGGGGUAGGAACCCGAUUUCGCUGGUAACGGAGUGUGUGGACGGGAAAUGGAUAAAAAGGCCCGGCUAACCUCGGG
This 467-nucleotide ribosomal RNA is filed under the name uncultured bacterium. RNAcentral's name for it is "partial 16S ribosomal RNA". It matches the Rfam family "Bacterial small subunit ribosomal RNA", at positions 28 to 507 of the family's 1533-position model. The record is from RNAcentral.